CCUACGGGAGGCAGCAGUGGGGAAUUUUUCGCAAUGGGGGAAACCCUGACGAAGCAACGCCGCGUGGAGGAUGAAGGCCUUCGGGUCGUAAACUCCUGUCGACUGGGAAGAAUACACCUGACCUAAUACGUCAAAGUGUUGACGGUACCCACAGAAGAAGCCCCGGCUAACUCCGUGCCAGCAGCCGCGGUAAUACGGAGGGGGCUAGCGUUAUUCGGAAUUACUGGGCGUAAAGCGCACGUAGGCGGAUCAGAAAGUCAGAGGUGAAAUCCCAGGGCUCAACCUUGGAACUGCCUUUGAAACUUCUGGUCUUGAGGUCGAGAGAGGUGAGUGGAAUUCCGAGUGUAGAGGUGAAAUUCGUAGAUAUUCGGAGGAACACCAGUGGCGAAGGCGGCUCACUGGCUCGAUACUGACGCUGAGGUGCGAAAGCGUGGGGAGCAAACAGGAUUAGAUACCCAGGUAGUCCACGCCGUAAACGAUGAAUGCCAGUCGUCGGCAAGCAUGCUUGUCGGUGACACACCUAACGGAUUAAGCAUUCCGCCUGGGGAGUACGGCCGCAAGGUUAAAACUCAAAGGAAUUGACGG
This 585-nucleotide ribosomal RNA is filed under the name uncultured bacterium. Its description in RNAcentral is "bacterial SSU rRNA". It matches the Rfam family "Bacterial small subunit ribosomal RNA", at positions 338 to 916 of the family's 1533-position model. The record is from RNAcentral.